GAUGAAGAACGCAGCGAAAUGCGAUAAGUAAUGUGAAUUUCAGAAUUCAGUGAAUCAUCGAAUCUUUGAACGCACAUUGCGCCCGCCAGUAUUCUGGCGAGCAUGCCUGUUCGAGCGUCAUUUCAACCAUCAAGCCCCAGGCUUGUGUUGGAGCCCUGCGGCUGCCGCAGCCUCCCAAAACCAGUGGCGGGCUCGCUAUCACACCGAGUGCAGUAGUUUACUCUUCGCUCAGGGCGUGUGGCGGGUGCUAGCCGUGAAACCCCCAACUUCUCAAGGUUGACCUCGGAUCAGGUAGGAAUACCCGCUGAACUUAAGCAUAUCAAUAAGCGGAGGA
RNAcentral lists this unclassified non-coding RNA (334 nucleotides) under soil metagenome. RNAcentral's name for it is "partial contains 5.8S ribosomal RNA, internal transcribed spacer 2, and large subunit ribosomal RNA". The stretch from base 1 to 120 matches the Rfam family "5.8S ribosomal RNA", at positions 35 to 154 of the family's 154-position model. The record is from RNAcentral.